GAUGAACGCUGGCGGCGUGCCUAAUACAUGCAAGUCGAGCGAACAGAUGAGGAGCUUGCUCCUCUGACGUUAGCGGCGGACGGGUGAGUAACACGUGGAUAACCUACCUAUAAGACUGGGAUAACUUCGGGAAACCGGAGCUAAUACCGGAUAAUAUAUUGAACCGCAUGGUUCAAUAGUGAAAGACGGUUUUGCUGUCACUUAUAGAUGGAUCCGCGCCGCAUUAGCUAGUUGGUAAGGUAACGGCUUACCAAGGCAACGAUGCGUAGCCGACCUGAGAGGGUGAUCGGCCACACUGGAACCGAGACACGGUCCAGACUCCUACGGGAGGCAGCAGUAGGGAAUCUUCCGCAAUGGGCGAAAGCCUGACGGAGCAACGCCGCGUGAGUGAUGAAGGUCUUCGGAUCGUAAAACUCUGUUAUUAGGGAAGAACAAAUGUGUAAGUAACUAUGCACGCCUUGACGGUACCUAAUCAGAAAGCCACGGCUAACUACGUG
Molecule: ribosomal RNA, 497 nt
Filed under: uncultured bacterium
Lineage: Bacteria
Description: partial 16S ribosomal RNA
Rfam family: Bacterial small subunit ribosomal RNA
Source: RNAcentral